GAGCUAAAUGAGGGCAGCAAGGAAAAAAUGGGUCCCUCAACAAGUGUGAGAGGGAGGCGAGAACCAGGUGCAUGGGAGCUGCACAGCCAGCAUCCUCCAAAAGGAAAAAAUCCAUAGCUAAGGGCUUUUUUUUGUGCCCUGAGCUGGGGAUACAGCUAUGAAGAUGACCUGGUCCCAACUUGGAGUAGCAUAGAAUCUGGUAGUAACUAGAGUUCGCUCGAGUGUCACCCUCCUCCCAGUCAUUGUCCUGCCUGCCCCUGCAGCACACUGCCCACCUAAAAGGAUUGGUCAUCACUGUCUUGGGGAAGUGGAGGUGAUGCUAGCACUGAGGAAGAAAUCAGAACUGAGCUUCACGCAACUCAUCUGAGAAUUGUUUCUCUCUGAACCCUUGCUAGACUUGUCCUUACAGCUGACUUUUGGUGAUGAUAGAUGGGCCUUAUUUCAAAAUUAAUGAGGUGAGGACACACCUACCUCAUGAGAAGGUGUAUCCUAUGAAAAUAUAAUUCAGAGUCUCUUUAAGUGGGUGGAAUAUGGUUACCUAGGUGCUAUUGGAAUUGAUUCUGUGGGACUGAUCUUUCCCUCCCUGAACCUUCCAUACCUGGGAAUCUACCAUUAUCAGUUCUUGGGUUUCACAUUGCCUUUUCUAGGCUCCUGUUUUAAAAAUGGAAAUACCCCUAGGAAGAACAUCAAGACCCGAACAUUGAGAAUAGACAGCCAAACGUUGCUGAACAGCAAGAGUAAUCCAAUUCAUAGGGACAUUGUGCAUUCCUGUCAGAAGAGCCCUGUAAUCAGGGACUACAGGCAAGGCCAGCUUACUGCUGCAAAAUGUGUGGGCUGUUACUACGCGGCCAACUUCUUGGAUUGCUGUGAGAUUCAAAUGCAAUAAAGAAUGGCAAAAAGGGUUAAAUUGUAAAUCAAGAUAAAAAUGGGAAUCAUUAUUCAACCAGCUGGUGGUGUGAAGAACUGGAAUUAAUUUUGAUAAAGACAGCAAGGAAUACUCUGGACCACAAGUAUUGAAAAUAAACAUCAAAAGGAGGUGUCAGGAGCUCUCUAUUAGAACUCUGAAGGAUAAUAUGGUUUUCAUUGUUUGGAAGGGCCUUUCUGGAUAUGUCAGGGGUUCAGUAAGAAGGAUGCCUUUCUCCUUUGAGAAACACAAAUGAUAUAUUUCCACAUUGGAAUAAUGGUCAGUGGAUCUUUCCAAAAGAAAAGUUAAAAAGACUUUCAAAAAUUUUAGGAAACUUGGCGGGGAAAAAAAAUCCACAAUCACCACUACUGUCAUCAUCAUCGUCAUCAAAUUAAUCCUUUGAAAAAUCUCAAAAGGUUUCUCAGUGAAGUAUGAAGACAGUGAUGAAGAACACUGAUUUCUAGUUGUCUUGAAUUCUGUGCCAUCAAAUGAUCAGCAUGAAAUGGAAUCAAUGCUGAAAAUUUCAAAACAACGUUUGAGUGUGUGUGUGUGUGUGUGUGUGUGUGUGUG
This is a long non-coding RNA of Neofelis nebulosa (Clouded leopard), 1474 nucleotides long. RefSeq lists it as uncharacterized. Lineage: Eukaryota; Metazoa; Chordata; Mammalia; Carnivora; Felidae. The record is from RefSeq and is a predicted model, not a curated record. The transcript is spliced from 3 exons.